Non-coding RNA from Parasteatoda tepidariorum (common house spider), 248 nucleotides. The record is from RefSeq and is a predicted model, not a curated record. Lineage: Eukaryota; Metazoa; Arthropoda; Arachnida; Araneae; Theridiidae.
CGUUAAAUGCUUUUUAUCUAUAAAAUAUCAAUUUGAUUGUUUACAACAAACUAUAAAAAAGUCAUUAAAUUCAUUUCUUUUUACUCUUGUAGCUAUACAAUUGAACCUAAAUAAAAUGAAUAAUCUACUUGAAAAGGAAAUUAAGAAAAUGAAACUACUGAAAAGUAUCACGAAAGCUUUACAAUUACAACGAGAGGAAUUACCUAGUGAGAUCAUUCAGUUGAACCUAAACGGAAUAAAAAAUCAAA